GGAGUGGGAAGGUACCUGGUGGGCCUCCCGGGCUUCAAACCCGGCGCAGAGCUUCAAUAAGGAGUUCUGGGUGGGUUCGAUUCCCAUCCACUCCCGCCA
This 99-nucleotide transfer RNA is filed under the name bacterium. RNAcentral's name for it is "tRNA-Sec". It matches the Rfam family "Selenocysteine transfer RNA". The record is from RNAcentral.